Triticum aestivum (bread wheat) is the source of this 135-nucleotide non-coding RNA. The record is from Rfam. Lineage: Eukaryota; Viridiplantae; Streptophyta; Magnoliopsida; Poales; Poaceae.
UAUAUACUCCCUCCGUCCCAAAAUUUUUGUCUUGGAUUUGUCUAAAUACGGAUGUACCAAGUCAUAUUUUAGUAUUAGAUACAUCCGUAUCUAGACAAAUGUAAGACACGAAUUUUGAGACGAAGAGAGUAGUAU